UGAGUAAUUAAAUUGUAUUAGAUUAUAUAUAUAUAUAUAUAUAUAUAUAUAUAUAAUAAUUUUAUUAAGAAUUUGGUAAUGGAGAAAGACUCUCUUCUUCCAACUUCAUCACAUUCAUACUCGAUACACUGAACCAAUCAAUAAAAGCUCGCUAUCUAACCGUGGGUUGAUCAUUCAAAGCUUGCCACAAAACCUAACCAAAGAACGUGUGGAGAGUCUUAUGUAUCUCAAACUCUCUUCAUAGUUGGCAACAAGUUGGCCGUAUUACUAACUAUUUCCUAAUAAAUACAGUAUCCGAGCAAAUUCCGCUAUCAAGAUAUAUUGUUUGUUGCCUUAUCAACCAAUAUAUAGCCUCAAACUAUUUAGCUAGGAGUUUCAGCCCUCGCCUAUAUAUUGUAUUUUCAGGGAGCUUCUAGAUAAAUUCUCUUUUGACUCUCUUACAUUAUCUUUCUACUCUUUUCAGGUCUCUUUCUAUUCAUUGAGAGUUGUGUUUGAUUUAGACAUCGAAGACCCGCUGCCUGACAUAUUCAGACGAGCUGGAAUCUCCAAGGACCACCGCUAACUCGGUGUGUGUGGGUCGGAUGGGUUCCCAGCAGCAGCGAUACUUAUCUCAAAGCAGGAGAUGGGCGAGAUGCAACGGUUGCCUGCACGAAAGAACAUUAGACAAGGCAUGCGGUACGGUACUCGGCGGAGCGCGGAAACUAUCAGAUCAGGGGUCGGCGCCUGAACGCUCCUCCUUGCCGUAAUGCUCAGGUUCUUGACAGAGCCAGACCUCAACCUCGUGCGAUAGGGCGCAUCGCCGCCGUUGGAGCAACAUCUUGACGGGUCUGACAAGGGAUACGAGAAGUGAUAUAAGAGCGUGGCUACGGUGAGCAUUCACUCGAACUUCUUCGUGUACAGAGCACUACCAGGGCGAUGAGGAGGAGUUGAGAAGGAUGAGUGAUGCAUGUAGCUCAGAAUUUUCUAUGUAUUUAUUUGGAUGUUUAUGAAACUUUUGUUCAUGCUUACGUUUUUAA
Phoenix dactylifera (date palm) is the source of this 1016-nucleotide non-coding RNA. The record is from RefSeq and is a predicted model, not a curated record. NCBI's taxonomy places the organism in Eukaryota, Viridiplantae, Streptophyta, Magnoliopsida, Arecales, Arecaceae.